This 400-nucleotide ribosomal RNA is filed under the name uncultured bacterium. RNAcentral's name for it is "bacterial SSU rRNA". It matches the Rfam family "Bacterial small subunit ribosomal RNA", at positions 29 to 414 of the family's 1533-position model. The record is from RNAcentral.
AACGAACGCUGGCGGCGUGCUUAACACAUGCAAGUCGAACGCGAAAGGGACUUCGGUCCUGAGUAAAGUGGCGCACGGGUGAGUAACGCGUGGAUAAUCUACCCGACGGACCGGGAUAACAUUUCGAAAGGGGUGCUAAUACCGGAUAAGACCACGGCUUCUUAGGGGGCUGCGGUAAAAGGUGGGGACCUUCGGGCCUACCGUCAUCGGAUGAGUCCGCGUACCAUUAGCUAGUUGGUAGGGUAAGGGCCUACCAAGGCGACGAUGGUUAGCUGGUCUGAGAGGAUGAUCAGCCACACUGGAACUGAGACACGGUCCAGACUCCUACGGGAGGCAGCAGUGGGGAAUUUUGCGCAAUGGGGGAAACCCUGACGCAGCAACGCCGCGUGAGUGAUGAAGG